Molecule: unclassified non-coding RNA, 1885 nt
Filed under: Hevea brasiliensis (rubber tree)
Lineage: Eukaryota; Viridiplantae; Streptophyta; Magnoliopsida; Malpighiales; Euphorbiaceae
Source: RNAcentral
GCCUGCAAAAAUGGUUCUGGCAAAUACUCCAAGCCCACCACCUCAAAUCCUCUCCAAGCCCAACAACUUGUUCAACCAACACACCCAUCUUCUUUGCUGCUUGAAUCAAUGCAGGGACAUGUUACAGCUCAAGCAAAUUCACGCUCAAGCUCUCCGUUCCACAUUGCCUAACCAUCCAGACACCCUCUUUCUUUAUAGUCGAAUUCUCCAUUUCUCCGCUAUCAAUGACCUUCACUAUGCCUAUCAAGUAUUCAAUGGAAUUCACAACCCCAAUUCAUUUAUUUGGAACACUCUCAUCAGAUCCUGUGCGCAGAGCUCUGAUAGUAAAGAGCAAGCUUUUUUACUGUAUAAAAGAAUGCUAGAGCAAGCAACUGUCUUGCCUGAUAAGCAUACGUUCCCAUUCGUUUUGAAGGCUUGCGCUUACCUGUUUGCUUUGUAUGAAGGGAAACAAGCACAUGCGCAGAUGUUUAAACUUGGGUUCCAAUCCGAUGUUUACGUAAAUAACAGUUUGAUUCAUUUCUAUGCUUCUUGUGGUUGCUUGGAGUCAGCACAGAAUGUGUUUGACAAAAUGCCAGGGAAGAGUGUGGUUUCCUGGAACGCUAUGAUUGAUGCGCUUGUUCAGUUUGGUGAGUUCGAAAUUGCGUUGAAACAGUUUGUUCAAUUGCAGAAUUUUUUUGACCCUGAUGAAUAUACAAUACAGAGCGUUUUAAAUGCUUGUGCUGGGUUGUGUGCACUGUCGUUGGGGAUGUGGGCUCAUGCUUAUUUGUUGAGAAAGUUUGAUGAUAAUGUAGCUAUGGAUGUUUUGGUUAACAAUUGUUUGGUGGACAUGUACUGCAAAUGUGGUGCGUUAGAUAUUGCUUUACAGGUAUUUGAAAGGAUGGAUAGGCGUGACUUAACUUCAUGGAAUUCUAUGAUCCUUGGAUUUGCGAUGCAUGGGAAGGCUGAGUUAGCAUUGGAAUAUUUUGAUCUUAUGGUUAGGACAUGGAAGUUUAUACCUAAUUCUAUCAGCUUCGUUGCUGUUUUGAGUGCUUGUAAUCAUAGGUGUAUGGUCAAUGAGGGUCGAAAGUAUUUUGAGAUGAUGGUUUCUAAGUAUGAGAUUGAACCUCAGCUGGAGCACUACGGGUGCCUAGUUGAUAUUCUGGCUCGUGCUGGUUUGAUUGAUGAAGCUUUGGAUUUGGUGUCAAGCAUGCCCAUGAAACCUGAUGCUGUUAUAUGGAGAAGUAUUCUUGAUUCUUGUUGCAAGAAAAAUGCAAGUGUUGAGCUAAGCGAAGAAAUGGCUAGGCAGGUCAUUGAGUCAAAAGGCGGUGAUUGCAGUGGUGUCUACGUUCUCCUAUCCAGAGUUUAUGCAUCGGCUAGCCGAUGGAAUGAAGUUGGCUUGCUCAGAAAAUUGAUGACUGAUAGAGGUGUAACAAAAGAACCUGGCUGUAGUUUGAUAGAGAUAGAUGGUGUUACUCAUGAAUUUUUUGCCGGAGAUACAUCUCAUCCUCGAACUAAAGAUAUUUAUCAGUUCUUGGAUGUGAUUGAAGAAAGAUUAGAGUCGGUAGGUUGUACGCCUGACUAUUCACAAGCACCUAUGGUUGAUGACUUGAAUGAUGGUAAGCAAAAGAAUCUUAGGGUGCACAGUGAGAGACUUGCUAUUGCUCUGGGGCUUUUAAGCUUGAAACCAGGAAUGCCAAUCCGAAUUUUCAAGAAUCUUCAGGUUUGCAGUGACUGCCACAAGGUAACCAAGCUAAUCUCUAAAAUCUUCCAUGUGGAAAUUAUUAUGAGAGAUCGUGUUAGAUUCCAUCACUUCAAAGACGGCUUCUGUUCAUGUAUGGAUUAUUGGUGACGCAUUGACUGCUAUAAGCUUAAUUUUAGAAUAUUCAAAAACUGUAAUUGAUAAGAG